This 92-nucleotide transfer RNA is filed under the name Shewanella algae. Its description in RNAcentral is "tRNA-Ser(gct)". It matches the Rfam family "tRNA". Rfam says of the family: Transfer RNA (tRNA) molecules are approximately 80 nucleotides in length. Their secondary structure includes four short double-helical elements and three loops (D, anti-codon, and T loops). Lineage: Bacteria; Pseudomonadati; Pseudomonadota; Gammaproteobacteria; Alteromonadales; Shewanellaceae. The record is from RNAcentral. RNAcentral also lists the same sequence under 5 other names.
GGAGAGGUGGCCGAGUGGCCGAAGGCGCUCCCCUGCUAAGGGAGUAUGGGCUUUAUAUCCCAUCGAGGGUUCGAAUCCCUCCUUCUCCGCCA